AAACUUAACUGAAUGUGACGCUAGCUGGUGUUUGUCGAAAGUAGAAUAGAAGAAUCUCACACCAUGUCGAAUGUUACAUGUGAUAAGCCUGCUAUUCUACUUGCCAAUCCACACCGAUCAGAGUAAAACAAAAACCAUAAAACCUGCACACACGUGGAAACAUAUUUGAAUUUACAUAUUUAUUUAUUUUUUUUCACUAAAUCGAUCACACAGAGGACGACACUUUAAUCCGAGCACAUUCGCUGCAAUCACAGGCAAUAUCUUAUGUGUGUGUGUGUGUGUGUGGAGUAGAUAACUGGAUUUGGAUUGGCCGCUGUUAUCGAUAGUGAGAAGCGUAUCACAUACAUACAUGUAUAUGGGCAUAGAUAUGACGACCUCAUGCUGAAUGUGGCAUGGAUAAACACAGCCAAGUGAAUAAAGCUAAAGGCUCCAAAUAAAUGUGACACAUCAAGCGAACAGAAUGCUUGUUCAGCCAAUGUCCAGUUUAGCUCGCCGAUUUGAAGACUACAUCGAAAACGACGAAACUAAACAAACAGAACGAGCAAACAACAAACAGAAAUUGUGUAAAAGGUCGUCAAACGUGUCGUUGGCACAUCGUUGAUAAGAAAACCCAAAUGCAGACCAUAUACACAACAUACAUAGUUUAUACAUACAUACUAUGUACUCUGCCCGGCGUGGUUGGUAUCAAUAAAUGCUUCUACUGCGGCAGUUACCAGCACAUUGAGUCAGAUAAGAUAUAGAAAUUAACUGUGAUAAAUGACAAUCAGGUGAAGAAUUCAGGGAGCUAGCAACAAUAUCGGAAAAUUUAGCUCAUGGGAUAAUCAAAUAUUGUAAAUUAGAAAAUAAUAAUCGAAAUUGAACGAACUCAAUUCCAUUGAUGACAUUGUGUGUCGAUGAUGGAAUAACUUAUCAGUAAGAUCAAUCAAAAUCGAUAGUUUCCCGUCGACUGGCAGAAGUCGAAGUAAAUUAGUCGAAUCUUAUAAGAUAUACAUAUAAGUAAAAAUGCUUUAGACGAUAAGCUUUCGUACUCCAUAAUAAAUA
Molecule: long non-coding RNA, 1041 nt
Organism: Drosophila grimshawi
Lineage: Eukaryota; Metazoa; Arthropoda; Insecta; Diptera; Drosophilidae
Exons: 3
Source: RefSeq, a predicted model, not a curated record